RNAcentral lists this transfer RNA (72 nucleotides) under Catenibacillus scindens. RNAcentral describes it as "intestinal bacterium CG19-1 tRNA". It matches the Rfam family "tRNA". From Rfam's summary of the family: Transfer RNA (tRNA) molecules are approximately 80 nucleotides in length. Lineage: Bacteria; Bacillati; Bacillota; Clostridia; Lachnospirales; Lachnospiraceae. The record is from Rfam by way of RNAcentral.
UGGGCUGUCGCCAAAAGGCAAGGCACAGGAUUCUGACUCCUGCAUUUGAAGGUUCGAAUCCUUCCAGCCCAG